GGAGGGAGCGCAGGUUCCCAGGCUGUGUCCCCUGGCGCCCUGGCAUCCGGGGCCUGCGCUGUUGGAAUCGUGUUCCCAGGGCCUGGCAGCCCCCU
This 95-nucleotide microRNA precursor is filed under the name Canis lupus familiaris (dog). RNAcentral describes it as "mir-8799 microRNA precursor family". It matches the Rfam family "mir-8799 microRNA precursor family". Lineage: Eukaryota; Metazoa; Chordata; Mammalia; Carnivora; Canidae. RNAcentral also lists the same sequence under 1 other name. The record is from Rfam by way of RNAcentral.